Molecule: small nuclear RNA, 107 nt
Filed under: Cairina moschata (Muscovy duck)
Lineage: Eukaryota; Metazoa; Chordata; Aves; Anseriformes; Anatidae
Source: RNAcentral
AUGCUCAUUUUGGCAGCACAUAUACUAAAACUGGAACAAUACAGAGAAGAUUAACAUGGCCCCUGCGCAAGGAUGACAUGCAAAUUCGUGAAGUGUUCCAUAUUUUU